GUACACGCUGUGACUAGCAUAUCAAUAAGCGGAGGAAAAGAAACUAACAAGGAUUCCCUCAGUAACGGCGAGUGAAGCGGGAAGAGCUCAAAUUUGAAAUCUUGAAAGGCCACCUUUCACGAAUUGUAGUUUAAAGAAGUGUUUUCUGUUACGAUCGUAAUAUAAGUUCUUUGGAAUAGGGACAUCACAGAGGGUGAGAAUCCCGUCUAUGAUUGCGAUUUGUAGCUUUGUGAUACACUUUCAAAGAGUCGGGUUGUUUGGGAAUGCAGCCCAAAACGGGAGGUAAAUUUCUUCUAAGGCUAAAUAUUGGCGAGAGACCGAUAGCGAACAAGUACCGUGAGGGAAAGAUGAAAAGAACUUUGAAAAGAGAGUUAAAUAGUACGUGAAAUUGUCAAAAGGGAAGCGUUUAACACCAGUGUUGUUUUCUGAAAAUCAACCUCUGUUAGCUUUAUGCAUGUUUGUUUAGACCUAAUCAGCUAUCUUUCAUGUUCUAUUGUUUGCAGUGGUGCACUUUCCAGUUUACAGGUCAACAUCAGUUUUUUUUACCGUAAAAAAGUUAAAGAAAGGUAGCUCAUGGCUCCGGUCGUGAGUGUUAUAGUCUUUUUCCUAUGCGGUAGGAGAGACUGAGGUCUGCAGUGUAGGCUAUUUGGCUAGAUACUCAGGUGCUAUGUGAUACCAUUUCAUAAACAACUUGUUGAUUAUGUUUUGUCUAUUGCAUACUCGCUUGUACUAUCAUACCUACGCUUAGGAUGUUGAGUAGCGACAUACGCAC
RNAcentral lists this ribosomal RNA (772 nucleotides) under uncultured Neocallimastigales. Its description in RNAcentral is "partial large subunit ribosomal RNA". The stretch from base 4 to 662 matches the Rfam family "Eukaryotic large subunit ribosomal RNA", at positions 24 to 664 of the family's 3401-position model. The record is from RNAcentral. Lineage: Eukaryota; Fungi; Neocallimastigomycota; Neocallimastigomycetes; Neocallimastigales.